RNAcentral lists this ribosomal RNA (832 nucleotides) under uncultured archaeon. Its description in RNAcentral is "bacterial SSU rRNA". It matches the Rfam family "Archaeal small subunit ribosomal RNA", at positions 21 to 859 of the family's 1478-position model. The record is from RNAcentral.
GGUCACUGCUAUUGGGAUUCGACUAAGCCAUGCGAGUCGAGAGGGUUCGGCCCUCGGCUGACGGCUCAGUAACACGUGGAUAAUCUGUCCUUAGGUGGAGGAUAACCUCGGGAAACUGAGAAUAAUACUCCAUAGGUCUAGGAUGCUGGAAUGCAUCUAGACUGAAAACUCCGGUGCCUAAGGAUGAGUCUGCGGACUAUCAGGUUGUAGUCAGGGUAAAGACCUGACUAGCCUACGACGGAUAUGGGUUGUGAGAGCAAUAACCCAGAGAUGAUAUCUGAGACACGAUAUCAGGCCCUACGGGGCGCAGCAGGCGCGAAAACUUCACACUGUGCGAAAGCACGAUGAGGGAAUCCCAAGUGCCAGCUCGUAAGAGUUGGCUGUUUUUCUGUCUAAAACACAGAGAGAGUAAGAGCUGGGUAAGACGGGUGCCAGCCGCCGCGGUAAUACCUGCAGCUCGAGUGGUGACCGUUAUUAUUGGGCCUAAAACGUCCGUAGCCGGUUUAGUAAAUGCCUGGGUAAAUCGUGUAGCUUAACUAUACGAAUUCCGGGUAGACUGCUAAACUUGAGACCGGGGGAGGCUAGAGGUACUCCUGGGGUAGAGGUGAAAUUCUGUAAUCCUGGGGGGACCACCAGUGGCGAAGGCGUCUAGCUAGAACGGAUCUGACGGUGAGGGACGAAGCCCUGGGGCGCGAACCGGAUUAGAUACCCGGGUAGUCCAGGGUGUAAACGCUGCUUGCUUGAUGUUAGUCGGGCUCCGAGCCCGAUUAGUGUCGGAGAGAAGUUGUUAAGCAAGCUGCCUGGGAAGUACGGUCGCAAGACUGAAACUUAA